RNAcentral lists this ribosomal RNA (415 nucleotides) under uncultured prokaryote. RNAcentral describes it as "bacterial SSU rRNA". It matches the Rfam family "Bacterial small subunit ribosomal RNA", at positions 505 to 918 of the family's 1533-position model. The record is from RNAcentral.
GUGCCAGCCGCCGCGGUAAAACGUAGGGGGCAAGCGUUGUCCGGAGUUACUGGGCGUAAAGGGUGCGCAGGCGGUGGGUUACGUCGUGUGUGAAAGCCCCCGGCUUAACCGGGGAGGGUCGCGCGAAACGGGCUCACUGGAGGCAAGGCGAGGUCGGUGGAAUUCCCGGUGUAGUGGUGAAAUGCGUAGAGAUCGGGAGGAACACCAGAGGCGAAGGCGGCCGACUGGACUUGACCUGACGCUGAGGCACGAAGGGGUGGGGAGCGAACGGGAUUAGAUACCCCGGUAGUCCACGCAGUAAACGAUGGAUACUAGGUGUGGCGGGAGUUGACCCCGGCCGUGCCGGAGCUAACGCAGUAAGUAUCCCGCCUGGGGAGUACGGCCGCAAGGCUAAAACUCAAAGGAAUUGACGGGG